Molecule: long non-coding RNA, 373 nt
Filed under: Vigna radiata
Lineage: Eukaryota; Viridiplantae; Streptophyta; Magnoliopsida; Fabales; Fabaceae
Description: long non-coding RNA (VRAD_LNC014019)
Source: RNAcentral
GAUUCUCUUCGAGUUGUCAGAGUGGUUUUCUUUCGGUUCGCUCGUCGAAGGAAGGUUUAUUUAUUUGCUUUUCAUUCACUAUAAUUGUAAUUUGAGAAACAUAUUUUUAGUGGAACUGUUAAUAACUAUUUAUAGUGAUUAACGACUGGACGUAGAUUCUUUUGAAUCGAACCAGUAUAAAAAUUACUUCUGUGAUUUUUCUACUCCCUGCACUUGUUACUUUUGCCUGCACUCAAACUGUUCGAUUAAUUUUCUGAAAGAAUAUUAUUUUGUGAAAAAGGACCAACUUCGUUUUAACAGUGACUGAACACGCUUAUACACUACUCUAAGUUUUAAUUCCGCUGCGUUAUACUCUUCGAACUAUACCCCCUCC